Molecule: unclassified non-coding RNA, 109 nt
Organism: Cercocebus atys (sooty mangabey)
Lineage: Eukaryota; Metazoa; Chordata; Mammalia; Primates; Cercopithecidae
Rfam family: Y RNA
About the family: Y RNAs are components of the Ro ribonucleoprotein particle (Ro RNP), in association with Ro60 and La proteins. The Y RNAs and Ro60 and La proteins are well conserved, but the function of the Ro RNP is not known.
Source: Ensembl
GGCUGGUCCAAAGGUAGUGAGUUAUCUCAAUUGACUACUGACAGUUACGGAUCUAACUCCUUGUUCCACUCUUUCCCCCCUUCUUAUACUAUACUUCACUUGGUCUUUA